UCCCGGGUUGUGUAACGGUCAGCACAGGCGACUUUGACUCGCCUAGUCAUGGUUCGAAUCCAUGCCCGGGAG
RNAcentral lists this transfer RNA (72 nucleotides) under Elusimicrobiales bacterium. Its description in RNAcentral is "tRNA-Gln". It matches the Rfam family "tRNA". From Rfam's summary of the family: Transfer RNA (tRNA) molecules are approximately 80 nucleotides in length. The record is from RNAcentral. Lineage: Bacteria; Pseudomonadati; Elusimicrobiota; Elusimicrobia; Elusimicrobiales. RNAcentral also lists the same sequence under 1 other name.